This is a long non-coding RNA of Triticum dicoccoides, 2735 nucleotides long. RefSeq lists it as uncharacterized. The record is from RefSeq and is a predicted model, not a curated record. The transcript has 3 exons. Lineage: Eukaryota; Viridiplantae; Streptophyta; Magnoliopsida; Poales; Poaceae.
UUGUGGAGUCCGCUGUGGGAAACAUGUCGAGGGAUCGGGAAUGGCGGUUUGACGAGCCGUGAGACCUGGCACUGGUGGGGAGGGGCCUCGCGGGCACGGCGGAGCGGCGAUGGAUGCCGAUGGGGUGACCGGUGCGGUUCCCACUCCGGGUGGAUUUCGCGGACUGCUUGGAGCAGCCAGAUCCGGUCCCUCUGGUGCUGCUGCCGCCGCGUGUGGAAGCGUCGGCUGCGUGCAACUAUUAGGGAAAUGCAGCCAGGUCUGGAUUCGUUGGCUGGAGGACCAGAUUGCAUUGUGGACAGGUGGAUGAUGAUACGAGGGGGCCCGGACUACUGGUGGCAGCCAACCUACUAAUGCACUAGCAGGAGCACCCCCUGGACAAGGCGCUGGGCCUAAUCCCGGUCUGCUCCUCUUCCAGCCUUUCCCUAGCAAAACAUGUGGCUUCUCUCCAGGUAAUCGGUUCCAUCUCUCCAGAUCACGAAGGAUUCAGAUCUAUUGCUUGUUGAAUUUACAAGUCAAUUGAUUUGUUGGUUUAUUCUUGCCUAGGAUUAUUGGGCGAGUUUAUUUGAAAAUUAGUACUGGGUUGAAUGAGUAUGGACUAUAGUUGUAACAACAGUUUACAAGUUGAAGAACCAGCAACAACUCGCAAGUUCAUUCUUUGCAAAUUAAUUAAAUUACCCCAGUGAAUCACAUUCCUCGUUUUGUUUGAUGUUGAUGUCUCCCGCGUGCUUUAGCUGAAACAUUGAUCACCGAGGAAGUGAGGAUGCCCUCUUCUGUUCAGUUUAUCAAAUAAUGUCUCAUGAAGGUAGUACCAAUCAAUACUAUUUGAUUAAGUUGAGCAAUUGUAUGUUGCUUCUUGAUUAUAAUUCAUGAUGCAAACACAGGGUUUUUGUUCGAUGCCUGCUAUUUUUAAGUGGGGUCAUUUGAUUUAUUUAUGGCGAUGUCGUAUGCUCAAGAACUUUUUGACUUGUAUGCCAAUACUGGUAUACAUGAGAAAUGAAAGAUCGAAUCUAAAAUGUCAGCACUUUGUCAUUUUCUUUACCUGGGAUUUUCCGGGGUAUACAUGAGAAAUUCUACGAUGCUAGUCCUAGUAAGCAUUUCCCACUGUUGUGAUAUUCAACCUAGUUUAAACUAAAUGGUGUAUUCGAAACAAACGAAAUGUAUACACUAACAUCAUUUUCAGUUUGCAAGAGAGACAACAGUAUACUGACAAAGUUUUUCAGCCUGAAUCUGCUCCAUAUAUCUGUUAUGUUGGAUAUGGCCCAAGACGCUUAUUUCUUAAUCUUCUCUGUUUUAAUAACCUCUUGAAAUUUUGCUAGGACUGGAUGUCUAGUUGCAGCUUGUGCUGGACUACGUACAGGAAGAUUCUUUUUUUUUUUUGUUAGUAAAGGCCAUAUUGUUGUUCAAGCCCCGCCAUCAUUUUCUUGAGCAAACUUCUAAAUGCUCCAUUAUAGUAUCAAUUUAUAAAGAACACACUUCAUGUAAAAGAGGAAAUACGCUAACUUGUUAAAUGCCAUUAUAAAAAAUGAGGAUGACUUUUCUUUAAUUUAUGCAAAAGGUUUAUCUAGUACCUUUUCAGAAGUAGCUGGUCAACUUUGGCUUUGUCAUAAUUCAGUUUGGUGAUGCAUUGACAAUCAGUGUUCGUUCCUUAGACUAUCUUACUGGGAUAUGGAUCAUGGUAAUCCAAUUCUACAGAAAAAAGUGAAGUUCUCAUGUCAGUUGUUCCGGUGAUGAUAGAAUUAUGACAGGUUGGUUUUUGUUUUGUGAAGCUCCCUUGUCAAUGUGAACCACAUGUAACACACAUGAAGCUUUAACUGUUUCCGUGUUAACUGGUUGUGAAAAACUCAUAAGGUGUGUAAAGAGUUCUUCAUUGCUUGUUCUGUACUUGCAGUUUCUUAUCAUUUGCUAGGAGUUCUUACUUGUACUGGUCAGCCUUGCAUGAUGAAAAUAGCCUUAUAUAUUUUGCUUCUGCUAGUAAACUUGAUAGAAAAAUCACAAUCUGAUAGCUUAUCUUGGUUAGAAUUUUUUUGGUGUAAUAUAGGGACAAGUUGGAUCUUUGCUUGUAUAGUUUAUGUUGCAACAAUGAAAUUCCACUCUGAUGAUUUGAGGAGUGAAGAGUUUUUGGUUUAAAUUCAUAAGACAGUCUAUAUACCAAAUGCAUCCCAACAGAAUGAUUUAUUUGCAAAUCACGACGAGCUUGAAAAAACCAUUUUGUUUUGUAAUAUUACUUUAGUUGUACUGCUCAAGUUAUCCCACAAUUGCAUCAACUUGUUGCUCCAGUACUUUGACUAACUAGAAUGCAUCCCAACAGAGUUUUUGUAGUAUUUUGUCUUACCAUCAUCUCUUUUUGCGAACCUAUUUAUGCAUGAAAACAAUGUUACAAAACUGUUGUAGUAUGAAACAGUUUACUAAAUUGUUGUACGCCGAAGCGGUCGUUGACUUCCUAAUUGUUUCGUGUAAUUUAGGGAACAUGGAGCUGCGGUUCCCAGCCGAUGUGCAGUAGAGAAAAGCAGUGACCAUUGCCUUCCAGCUUCCAUCUUCAGAAGUGUCGGCCCGGACAUGACGAUUUUAUAUGUUAGAAAUGAUUUUUUAGUGCAUGUCUUGGACAACCCUGCAGUUCUUGCAUUUCUGGUAGACAAAAUCGGUUCGUUGCAAUUUGUGUUCAUCUUGCAGUUCUAAAAUUCAGAACUUGUUGAGCAGUGAUGCAUUUAUUUAUGAUGGCAACUCUUGUUCUGGCA